Molecule: long non-coding RNA, 1243 nt
Organism: Scylla paramamosain (green mud crab)
Lineage: Eukaryota; Metazoa; Arthropoda; Malacostraca; Decapoda; Portunidae
Exons: 2
Source: RefSeq, a predicted model, not a curated record
AUCAAUAAUGUAUGUGUAUAUGCAAGUAUGUAUGUAUCUGUGCAUGCACGUACCUCUCUGUCUCUCUAUCUAUCUAUCUGUCUCCGUCCCACAGGUGUCCAAGCCGCUGGCCGCCGAAAGUGACGCCGCGGUAGAUAAACAAGUGAUCCCAGGUGUGCUGACGUGCCGCUCCGAGUGUCAGGUGUUGGCGGAGGAGUGAUGGCUCAGAUAGAUGGACGAUGGGCGAGUGGGUGGCGAUGGUAGCGGAGGUGGUGUCGGCGGUGGUGGAGGACGGGGCAACGGCCGCGCGGACGCUCACACGGCAGGAAAGUGGGUCAUUCUGACGCUGCUGCCACGACCAAACUCGCCCCCUGCACCUCCGCAGCCGCCGCCGCCGCCGCCCCUCACAGCGUCCGGAGAGGGCGGCGCCGCGAUCACUCACCACCGAUGCUUCGUGACACGCCAAAUGAAGAUGAACGAAGGAGCUCACGAACCCGCUUCCCUCCAGCCCAUUAGUACCAGCGUCAAUACCUCGCCGAAGAACCGUUUACACUGCUGCAUUAGAGGCACGGAAGUGGCAAACAAUGGAACAGUUAUUAAACGAAGCUCUUAUUGUCGUUUUAUGUAACCACAGACCACAAGUAUUUUUCUUCUUGACUUCGCAGGACGAUUCGAGCAUUGCAUUGCAUCGCUGACACUCCUUGGACGCCGGUGAUGGACGGAAGUGUGUGUUUUAGCCAGCCAUUACGUGUGCAUGAGAGAGAGAGAGAGAGAGAGAGAGAGAGAGAGAGAGAGAGAGAGAGAGAGAGAGAGAUGCUUGCCCAAGUAACGGGAGGAUGAGGGAGAGGCAGGGCCGUGUACUGGUCGGUGUUGCACUAUAAGGGCAUCCACCAUCCAAAGUAUCACACCACCGACCUGCUCCUCUCUCCUCUCUCCUUUCACCUCCCCACUCCUUGCACUCACAACUCCCGCACCUGUUCGCACCUUCGUAUCGGCACUACAUAUCAAUUUGAGAGAUGUGACGAUCACUCUCCCUGUAUAUUUGUGGUGCAUGUAACGUGGAUGAUUGCCCGUCAAGCCACCACCGAGACGCAAAAUGCACAUUUUGCGUAUUCUUUACUGGCUUCAGAUGAUGAGGAAAAGUGGGGGAGGCAGAGAGCGAGAAACUGUUCUGCGACUUCUAUUACCGUAGGAAAAAAAAUGAAAGAUAUUAGUAAAGAAGCUCACAGCGGGAUUUCUGUAUUUAUGUGGAUUUGACUUGUAA